AUGUGACAGAAUAAUGUAUUAAAUUUAAAAUUUAAAAAUGAAUAACCCAUUAGAA
This 55-nucleotide transfer RNA is filed under the name Epitrioza marginata. RNAcentral describes it as "tRNA-Leu". The record is from RNAcentral. Lineage: Eukaryota; Metazoa; Arthropoda; Insecta; Hemiptera; Triozidae.